UAAAUACUCGUAUAUUUUAAUAUAAUUAAAAGCAUUUAGUCCGGCUACUUAUAAAGGUAAUUAAUCCCAGUAUAUAUAAAUAUACUAAAUAUUAUUUCCUAUUUAUAAAUUAGAAUAUUUUUAACAAAUUUUAAAUAUUAUUAUUAAUUUCCGAAACAACGAAGAUAAAAGGGAAAUUUUCUAGUAUAAAUAACCGAAAGCAUAAUUUUUUGGUUGAAAUUUGUAAAUUUAAUAGAGAAAGUAAAACUUUAUCUUAUAUUAGUUAAUAUAUAAAGUUUUUCAUAUUUUUAACUUUAUUAAUUAUUAUUAAUAUUAUUAUUAUUCCCUGGUAAAUUUGAAAGAUUAACCCAAAUACGCGGUAUAUUAUAAGUUUUCAAUUGUAGAAAUAUUGCAUUUCGUUUCCAGUUAUUCGUUAAACAAAUCUUUUUACCGGAAAAUAUAAUAUUAAUUAGAUAAUUUAUUUAAUAACUACGUUAUAAAAAUAAUCGAACUUUUAACCAUCUCCAAAUCAAUAUAACCGGACGGAACUUUUCUCAUUGAAAACCAAAUUAAUAAAUAAAAUAAUAUUAUAAUAAUUAUACUAACAAUUUGAAUUCUUCAAAACUUAUUACCCAUAAGAAAACAAUUAUUAUUUAUAUCGAUAUUAAAUUUACGCGUUCAAAUAAUAAUAUUAAUAAUUUGGGUUAUAUAUUAGGGAUUAAAUGCUUUUCCGCACUAUAAAACUUUUUCCAGUUAUUUGGUUUGGCCCAUCAAGAAAUUUAAAUAAAAUAUAAUAAUUGUUAUAUUCGCGGAUUUGUUAUCCGUUUUGUUAACAACGUACGUUUAUAAUAUUGCGUAAAAUAUUAAAUAAUUUGUAACGAUAGCCGUCCGCGGAGCGUCUGCUAUAUAUAUUUUAAUUUAAUCCUAAUAAUAUUUAACGUAGAAAUAAAGAACGUUUGUAAUAAUUUCUCAGACGUUUGCGAAACCGCCGGGACGAAAUUAGUAAAAACGCAAAUUAAUACGAAAAAUAUCCGUUUAAAUUUACCAUGGUUUAAUAAUAUUAAUAAUGGAGAUAUUAUAUAUAAAGUACUAUCAAAUAAUUAUUAAGUUUACCAGUAUUGUUUAAUUUUAAAAAAUAUAUAUAUUGUUACAAUCAAAUAGAAAUUAAAUAACGAAUUGAAAAUUAUAAUUAUAAUUAUAUAUUUUGGUAAAAUAUAUCCAUUAUAAAAAAAAGUUAUAAUUAUUAUAACAAGUAGUUAAAAAAUAUAAGUAAUAUUUACUUAUAAAUUAAUAACAAAACCAAUAGCCCCCGGACAAAAUAUUAGGAAAAUCCUAAUUUGACUAUAAAUAAUUGCGGUUGAUUUUUAAAUAGUCGAAGUUUAUUUUACUAUUAAAUUCCCAAUUAUUAACGGAAGAUUAUUUGUUAGGAAAUUGCAAUUGAUAAAUAAUAAUUAAGUAAUUGCGUUAGAAUAAAAAAUAUACCUUGACCAGGAAUAACUUUUAAUUAAAAUUGAAAUUUAUGCGUAAUAAAUUAGUAGAAUGUCGAAAAUUUAUUCCCUAAUAUUUUCGAGCAACCUCUUACUAAAAGAGUUAUUUUCGGCCAAAUUACUUCCAAUUACUAAUUAAAUAAAUUUGUAUAAAAUUAUAAAUAUUAGUUUGGUAUUUGUUUAUAAAAUAUCUUGGAUAUAGUUUUAUAAUAUCAGGUUUUACCUGGGUAAUAAUAAAAUAAUAGCAACAGUUUUUAUUAUAUAAAGUGUUAGUAAUAUUUUCUAAUAUUAGCAGGUUUAACAAUUAUAUUUGGAUUUAAUCCCCUUGUUUUUCUUAAUAGUCUAGUUUUAUCCGGAGCGAAACGUAACCAAAUAUUUAUAAUAUAUAUUACUAUUAUUUUAUUAUGAAGGAUUUGAUAAAAAACCGAUAGUUUUAUAACAAUUAUAAUUUAAUUUACCCGCUAGUAAAUAUUUUGAAUAAUAUUAGGUUUUUAUUAAAUACGAAUUAUAUAAAAUGAUAAUGUUAUUGGCAAUUGUUAAAUAAUUAACGUUUUUAAAUAAUAUAAUAAUUACUCGACGUUAAAUUUUGAAAGAUUGCGGUAACCGCCCCCAAAUUCGCUAAGACUUUCUUUAUUAACGACGAUAAUUUUACCGGAAUAAAAAACCAAAUUAAUAAAAUAAUAGCAGGUCCAGUAUUAGUUAUCCAUAUUUAAUAUUGAGAAAGGAAUUACAAAUUAUUAUAUUUAAUUAUAAUUUAAUAUUAAAAAUCAAUUUAAAUCACUCAGGUAACUUAAUUUAAUUUGAUUUCUUUUAACCCUGACAAUAUUUAAACCAUUAUAUAUAUAAAGUCCCGCAUUUGCGGGUUUGAAUUUUACAUUUGCAUAUUAGAAAUUAUAAUCGGCUAUUAUUUUCCACAAAUAAAAUCGAAUAAUAAUAAAAAUAAUGGGAAUUAUAACGGUUUAAUAUUUGUCGGAAAUCCCUUUAUAUUGGGGAAACUUAUAUUAUCCUGGCAAAUAAAAAAAAGUAGUUAAUAAUUAAUAUCAGACAGUUAUAUUUUUGAAAAUAAAUAUAAUAUCCCCAGUCCAAAAUAUAUUUGGUAAAGUUGAAAUCUUGUACAAAACGGGUAUUUUAUUACCUGUACUUAGUUUACCGGGACUAUUAGCUUUAUAAUACGCCAAAAGUCCGGAUAUUUUUAACAUUGAAAAUGUCAGUUAGAUAAUAAAAGUUAUAAUUGUUAUUAUAAAUUGAAAAACCGUUGAAAACAAUUCUAAUUGUAAUUAUUAUUAAAAUAAAGUAAAGAAUAUUACGCAAAUUGCUAGAAAAUAUAAUAAUUACUAUAAUUUAUAAGCAAAUAGGCGAAACUCUUAUUUGAAAUAUUUGUAAUUUAUAUUAAGACACUGGUUAAUUUAUAACGGAGGAUAAUUAUAAUAUUAUUAAAAUCUAAGAAAUUACUAUCAAAAUUGGGCCGUUAUAUGGUAUUUCAACCGUAGUAAUCCCGACAAUUAACUAAAAACGUUCGGAUAUUUGAGCGAUGGGAGGUUCGUCCACAUUACAAAUAAUAUUGGUUCUAGAACUAGCGGUCCGGAAGUGGGCAGGGCCCUGAAAUGGUUAUUUCUCUUUUGCUCCAUUAACCUUUAUAACAAUCCAACCAAGUACCCGAUACAGACCAGAUUUGGUACGUAUGUAAAACCAAACAGCCGCUUUUUCAUAGUGUAGUAUAUAUAUUUGUAGCGCUAGUAAUAAUCGAUAUAUUAAGGAUAUUAUACAUUUGCUAUUUCUAUUAUUUAAAAUUCGAAUUAAGAUGCAGUAAAUACGGGGUAAAGCCCAUUAAGUAAAAUAAACUUCAAAUAGUAUCUGAAAUUUUAGCCUGGGCUGGUAAUAUAUUCGGUUGAUUUUAUACGAUUUUUUAAAAUAGAAACCAUAAAAACGUAUAUUAAACUAAAAUUUAAUUUAUAAUAUUUUUGGUUAAUAAAUAAAACAAUAAAAAAAUCGUACUAAUAAUAAAAUAAUAAAAGCAAAAUUACGGAUUUCUUUAAAUAUAUAUUUAAAAUCCUUUUAUUUUGUUAAAUAAAUGCGCAAAUUGCGCCAAUUCGGUGGAAAAUACUACUUAUAAUAUAUAUAUAUAUAACCGUUAUUUUCCGGAAAAAGAUUGACGCGAAUAUUAUUU
Molecule: small RNA, 3633 nt
Filed under: Pyricularia oryzae
Lineage: Eukaryota; Fungi; Ascomycota; Sordariomycetes; Magnaporthales; Pyriculariaceae
Description: Magnaporthe oryzae sRNA M_BR32_EuGene_00052431
Source: RNAcentral